RNAcentral lists this ribosomal RNA (253 nucleotides) under uncultured bacterium. RNAcentral's name for it is "partial 16S ribosomal RNA". It matches the Rfam family "Bacterial small subunit ribosomal RNA", at positions 524 to 776 of the family's 1533-position model. The record is from RNAcentral.
UACGUAGGGGGCAAGCGUUGUCCGGAUUUAUUGGGCGUAAAGAGCGUGUAGGCGGCCAUACAGGUCCGUUGUGAAAACUGGAGGCUUAACCUCCAGACGUCGAUGGAAACCGUAUGGCUAGAGUCCGGAAGAGGAGAGUGGAAUUCCUGGUGUAGCGGUGAAAUGCGCAGAUAUCAGGAAGAACACCCGUGGCUAAGGCGGCUCUCUAGUACGGUACUGACGCUGAGACGCGAAAGCGUGGGGAGCGAACAGG